This 463-nucleotide ribosomal RNA is filed under the name uncultured bacterium. RNAcentral describes it as "partial 16S ribosomal RNA". It matches the Rfam family "Bacterial small subunit ribosomal RNA", at positions 28 to 507 of the family's 1533-position model. The record is from RNAcentral.
GAUGAACGCUGACAGAAUGCUUAACACAUGCAAGUCUUUGGCGAAGCUGUGCUUGCACAGCCUAGCCAAGGCGGACGGGUGAGUAACGCGUAAGGAACUUGCCCUGCAGUCAGGGAUAACAGACGGAAACGACUGAUAAGACCUGGUAAAGUCAGGCGGACUCAUGUCCAGCCUGAUGAAAAGAGAUGCUGCAGGAGAGCCUUGCGUCCUAUUAGCUUGUUGGUGGGGUAACGGCCCACCAAGGCGAUGAUAGGUAGCCGGCCUGAGAGGGUGGACGGCCACAAGGGGACUGAGAUACGGCCCUUACUCCUACGGGAGGCAGCAGUGGGGAAUAUUGGACAAUGGGGGCAACCCUGAUCCAGCAAUUCUGUGUGAACGAUGAAGGUUUUCGGAUUGUAAAGUGCUUUCAGCAGGGAAGAAAAAAAUGACGGUACCUGCAGAAGAAGCGACGGCUAAAUACGUG